RNAcentral lists this ribosomal RNA (492 nucleotides) under uncultured bacterium. RNAcentral's name for it is "partial 16S ribosomal RNA". It matches the Rfam family "Bacterial small subunit ribosomal RNA", at positions 29 to 507 of the family's 1533-position model. The record is from RNAcentral.
AGUGAACGCUGGCGGUAGGCCUAACACAUGCAAGUCGAACGGCAGCACAGUAAAAGCUUGCUCUUACGGGUGGCGAGUGGCGGACGGGUGAGGAAUACAGCGGAAUCUACUUUUUCGUGGGGGAUAACGUAGGGAAACUUACGCUAAUACCGCAUACGACCUACGGGUGAAAGCAGGGGAUCUUCGGACCUUGCGCGAUUGAAUGAGCCGAUGUCGGAUUAGCUAGUUGGCGGGGUAAAGGCCCACCAAGGCGACGAUCCGUAGCUGGUCUGAGAGGAUGAUCAGCCACACUGGAACUGAGACACGGUCCAGACUCCUACGGGAGGCAGCAGUGGGGAAUAUUGGACAAUGGGCGCAAGCCUGAUCCAGCCAUACCGCGUGGGUGAAGAAGGCCUUCGGGUUGUAAAGCCCUUUUGUUGGGAAAGAAAAGCAGCAGGUUAAUACCCCGCUGUUCUGACGGUACCCAAAGAAUAAGCACCGGCUAACUUCGUG